RNAcentral lists this ribosomal RNA (772 nucleotides) under Genistelloides hibernus. RNAcentral's name for it is "eukaryotic LSU rRNA". The stretch from base 1 to 309 matches the Rfam family "Eukaryotic large subunit ribosomal RNA", at positions 66 to 358 of the family's 3401-position model. Lineage: Eukaryota; Fungi; Kickxellomycota; Harpellomycetes; Harpellales; Legeriomycetaceae. The record is from RNAcentral.
UAACAAGGAUUCCCCUAGUAACUGCGAGUGAAGCGGGAACAGCUCAAGCUUAAAAUCUCCUAGUGGUAAAAGACUAGGCGAGUUGUAGCUUAUGGAGGUGGGAUUGAUCAGUGGAAGUAAGGUAGUAAAAGUGCUUUUGAAUAAGCCAUCAGAGAGGGUGAAAAUCCCGUAUUUGACUAUUUUUAUUUUCAUGAUGAGAACCAUUUUCUUUGAGUCGGGUUGUUUGGGAAUGCAGCCCUAAUUAGGAGGUAAAUUUUCUUCUAAAGCUAAAUAUAAGCAAGAGACCGAUAGCAAACAAGUACCGUGAGGAAAAAUAAACACCCCUUUGAAAAAAAANUGAAAAGUACGUGAAAUUGUUGAAAGGGAACCGGUUAGUANCCAAGCAUCACAAUUAAAGCGGGUAAAAGCGAGUUAAUAGUGGGGUCAACAUCAGUUGUUUAUUACGGGCCUGAAAGGAAGUUGGGAUUGUUAAAGGAGUAAGGUAGGGUGACUAGUGUUUGGAAGGUGGAAUUUAUUUCAUUUUUUAAACUAUAUAGCUAGUUAUCUGUUAUAGACUCUGUAAACAAGCGUUAAUAGCCUGGGGGUUUGGAUGACUGAGGAAGGCAGUGUAAAUUCUAAUAGUUAAAUAUUGGGAUUUUUCAGAUAUUUGUUUUGGGUAUUUGCUUUUAAUAUUUAGGUAGACAGCUUGCUGACUAUUUAGAUUUAGGGGUAUAUUCUGGGGAUAAAUAUUUCGAAAAUAGCACUAAGGAAGUUGGCGAAAAGCACUACUCGU